Long non-coding RNA from Sinocyclocheilus anshuiensis, 106 nucleotides. RefSeq lists it as uncharacterized. The record is from RefSeq and is a predicted model, not a curated record. Lineage: Eukaryota; Metazoa; Chordata; Actinopteri; Cypriniformes; Cyprinidae. The transcript has 3 exons.
UCUUCAGUGUCACAUGAUCUUUCAGAAAUCAUUCUAAUAUGCUGAUUUGCUGCUCAAGAAACUUGUCAUUAAUGUUGAAAGCAGCUGUUCUGCUAAAUAUUUUUGU